GGUUAAGCGACUAAGCGUACACGGUGGAUGCCCUGGCAGUCAGAGGCGAUGAAGGGCGUGCUAAUCUGCGAUAAGCGCCGGUAAGGUGAUAUGAACCGUUAUAACCGGCGAUACCCGAAUGGGGAAACCCAGUGUGAUUCGUCACACUAUCAUUAACUGAAUCCAUAGGUUAAUGAGGCGAACCGGGGGAACUGAAACAUCUAAGUACCCCGAGGAAAAGAAAUCAACCGAGAUUCCCCCAGUAGCGGCGAGCGAACGGGGAGGAGCCCAGAGCCUGAAUCAGCAUGUGUGUUAGUGGAAGCGUCUGGAAAGUCGCGCGAUACAGGGUGACAGCCCCGUACACAAAAGCGCAUGUGUUGUGAGCUCGAUGAGUAGGGCGGGACACGUGGUAUCCUGUCUGAAUAUGGGGGGACCAUCCUCCAAGGCUAAAUACUCCUGACUGACCGAUAGUGAACCAGUACCGUGAGGGAAAGGCGAAAAGAACCCCGGCGAGGGGAGUGAAAAAGAACCUGAAACCGUGUACGUACAAGCAGUGGGAGCACAGGUUUACCUGUGUGACUGCGUACCUUUUGUAUAAUGGGUCAGCGACUUAUAUUCUGUAGCAAGGUUAACCGUAUAGGGGAGCCGGAGGGAAACCGAGUCUUAAUUGGGCGUUAAGUUGCAGGGUAUAGACCCGAAACCCGGUGAUCUAGCCAUGGGCAGGUUGAAGGUUGGGUAACACUAACUGGAGGACCGAACCGACUAAUGUUGAAAAAUUAGCGGAUGACCUGUGGCUGGGGGUGAAAGGCCAAUCAAACCGGGAGAUAGCUGGUUCUCCCCGAAAGCUAUUUAGGUAGCGCCUCGUGAAUUCAUCUCCGGGGGUAGAGCACUGUUUCGGCUAGGGGGCCAUCCCGGCUUACCAACCCGAUGCAAACUGCGAAUACCGGAGAAUGUUAUCACGGGAGACACACGGCGGGUGCUAACGUCCGUCGUGAAGAGGGAAACAACCCAGACCGCCAGCUAAGGUCCCAAAGUCAUGGUUAAGUGGGAAACGAUGUGGGAAGGCCCAGACAGCCAGGAUGUUGGCUUAGAAGCAGCCAUCAUUUAAAGAAAGCGUAAUAGCUCACUGGUCGAGUCGGCCUGCGCGGAAGAUGUAACGGGGCUAAACCAUGCACCGAAGCUGCGGCAGCGA
RNAcentral lists this ribosomal RNA (1171 nucleotides) under Salmonella enterica. RNAcentral describes it as "partial 23S ribosomal RNA". It matches the Rfam family "Bacterial large subunit ribosomal RNA", at positions 1 to 1211 of the family's 2925-position model. The record is from RNAcentral. Lineage: Bacteria; Pseudomonadati; Pseudomonadota; Gammaproteobacteria; Enterobacterales; Enterobacteriaceae. RNAcentral also lists the same sequence under 1 other name.